UAGGGCAGAAGAAUCCGUACCACAAACCGACACAGGUGGACAAGAUGAGUAUUCUCAGGCGCUCGGGUGAUGGUCUGCGAAGGAACUAGGCAAAUUAGCUCCGUAACUUCGGGAGAAGGAGUGCCCACCUCAGACGUGGGUCGCAGUGAAUAGCGUCAGGCGACUGUUUAACAAAAACACAGGUCUCUGCUAAGUCAAAAAAACGACGUAUAGGGGCUGACGCCUGCCCGGUGCCGGAAGGUUAAAAGGAGGGGUUAGUCGCAAGGCGAAGCUCUGAAUUGAAGCCCCGGUGAACGGCGGCCGUAACAAUAACGGUCCUAAGGUAGCAAAAUUCCUUGUCGGGUAAGUUCCGACCUGUACGAAUGGCGUAACGAUCUGACGACUGUCGGCGCAGGCCGCCCGGCGAACUUGUGGUUCCGGUGAAGACGCCGGAUGCCCGCCACUAGACGAAAAGACCCCGUGCACCUUUACUAUACUUUAACAAUGAAUUAUGGGAUGGACUGCGUAGGAUAGGUGGGAGGCUUUGAACCCGGAUUCUUGGAUUCGGGGGAGCCAAUGGUGAAAUACCACCCUGUUUAUUCUGUGAUUCUAACCUACCGACCUGAUCGGCCGGAGGGACAUUGUUAGACGGGUAGUUUGACUGGGGCGGUCGCCUCCAAAAUUGUAACGGAGGCGUGCGAAGCUUGGUUCAGGAGGUUUGGAAAUCCUCCUUCGAGUGCAAUAGCAUAAACCAGGUUGACUGUGAGACCUACAAGUCAAGCAGCUGCGAAAGCAGGCUAUAGUGAUUCGGUGAUUCUGUAUGGAAGGGUCAUCGCUCAACGGAUAAGAGGUACACCGGGGAUAACAGGCCGAUCGGAGUCAAGAGUUCAUAUCGACGCUCCGGUUUGGCACCUCGAUGUCGGUUCAUCGCAUCCCGGGGGUGUAGAAGCUCCCAAGGGUUAGGCUGUUCGCCUAUUAAAGCGGUACGUGAACUGGGUUCAGAACGUCGCGAGACAGUUCGGUCUCUAUCUGUGGUGGGCGUAGGAAAUUUGAAAGGAUCUGCCUUUAGUACGAGAGGACCGAGGUGGACGAACCUCUUGUGAUCCAGUUGUCCCGCCAGGGGCACCGCUGGGUAGCGAAGUUCGGUUAGGAUAAGCGCUGAAUGCAUAUAAGCGCGAAACCUUCCUUAAGAUGAGAUUUCCCAAGCGCAAGCUAUGAAGGGCCGUGGAAGACGAUCACGUUGAUAGGCUGGGUGUGUAAGCGUAGUAAUACGUUAAGCUGACCAGUACUAAUCGCCCGUUCGGCUUGAUC
This 1290-nucleotide ribosomal RNA is filed under the name metagenome. RNAcentral describes it as "bacterial LSU rRNA". It matches the Rfam family "Bacterial large subunit ribosomal RNA", at positions 1628 to 2925 of the family's 2925-position model. The record is from RNAcentral.